GAUGAACGCUGGCGGCGUGCUUAACACAUGCAAGUCGAACGAAGCACUUUAUUUGAUUUCCUUCGGGACUGAUUAUUUUGUGACUGAGUGGCGGACGGGUGAGUAACGCGUGGGUAACCUGCCUUGUACAGGGGGAUAACAGUUGGAAACGGCUGCUAAUACCGCAUAAGCGCCCAGCAUCGCAUGAUGCAGUGUGAAAAACUCCGGUGGUAUAAGAUGGACCCGCGUUGGAUUAGCUAGUUGGUGAGGUAACGGCCCACCAAGGCGACGAUCCAUAGCCGAGAUGAGAGGGAGAGCGGCCACAUUGGGACUGAGACACGGCCGAAACUACUGCGGGAGGCGGCAGUGGGGAAUAUUGCACAAUGGGCGAAGGCCUGAUGGAGCGACGACGGGUGAGCGAAGAAGUAUUGCGGUAUGUAAAGCUAGAUCAGAAGGGAAGAUAAUGACGGUACCUGACGAAGAAGCACCGGCUAACUACGUG
This 481-nucleotide ribosomal RNA is filed under the name uncultured bacterium. RNAcentral's name for it is "partial 16S ribosomal RNA". It matches the Rfam family "Bacterial small subunit ribosomal RNA", at positions 28 to 507 of the family's 1533-position model. The record is from RNAcentral.